UGAGCGCGGGAGCCCCUACGAACCGCAGCGCGCGGUUUCCUGGGUGACAGGUCGCUACUGCUUUCGGGACCGAGGUGGCAACGGUGGGCGAGUGAAAAAAGGCAAGGGAGAGAGAGAGUGAGAAAGACGGAGAGGGGCCGGGAGAAGGAGAGAGACGGAGCGCGUCCGCUCAACGACGACGACGACGACGACGACGACGGGGAGACACGUCGUUCGGCCGCGCAAGUGCGCCCGGGCGCCGUUGCGUUCGUGCACACGUCAUUCAUGAAGACAGACUCGUCUCUCCAACAGCGGGGAGGUAGCAGCGGUGGUGGUGAUUCAGUGGGUGCAGAGAGAGGUGAAGGAGUGAUUGCCAUGACUACGACAGGAGCCCAGUAUGCCCUCGCAGCAGCAUCCACCGGGGCUAAUAACAGUGGGGGUAGCUCCGCAGCGGUAGGGGUGGAAUCUAAGCCAAGUGUGGUUGUCGUGACUACUACUUCCAGUUCCAGUGGCGGUGGCAGCGGGGCACAAACUCAGUCAGCCAGAGGCCAGCAGCUUAUCACUGUUGUAACCAGCCCAGAUCCUUCCAGUCCAAAUAAUCUGCAACCUAUCCAGUUAUUGGUUCAGGACCCGCUUGAAACAGCUGCAGAUUCUUCCAACGGAUCGACAGGUACACCAGCACAUGUUACAGCACAGGUAGUAGUCAACACUACUCACGCGGGCCAGCACACGCUAGUGGAUUCUGACGCUGCCUCUACAUCGGCUGGUACUAUCGUCAGCGGUUCUCCACACUACAUAACAGUUACAGGCACCAGUGAUUCGCCAUCCUACGCGUCCCUCACAACGGCUGUAGUGUCGGGUGACGCGGAGGCGGUGGGUUCCGAAUCGGUCUCCCAUCCGACUUACGUUCAAUAUGUCGAGGGGGAUGGUUCCACGUAUAUACCGGCGAAUGGCCAGAUGACAUAUCCCGUUUACGCGGUCGGUGAGGCAGGGGCGAUGUACACGCCGGCUUCGAGUCAGUACUACACUCCAGCAACGACGCCAGUAACGUACGCGCAGGUCACGGGACAAGGCUCGAACACGACGACCGGGCAACUAUUAUCACAGGGCAACGGUACAUACCUAAUUCAACAGAGCGUAGUAGAUGGAGACGCGACCACGCACGCGCUCAUAUCGGCGGCUGCCGCCCGCGCCAGUCCGCAGACGGAAACGGCGGAGGCAGUGGUUAGCGGGGGUGGAGGGACGUUCUUGAUCAGCGGUAAUUCCGGAAGUGCUACGGUCACCGUGGAAGAAGCAGCGGCCGCGGCUGCAAACAUGACGCAUGCCACUAGGGUCUCCCAGGCAACCAUGCAUUGGUUACUGGAAAAUUACGAAACCGCCGACGGCGUGUCCCUCCCAAGAUCGACUCUCUAUAAUCAUUAUCUACGCCAUUGCUCCGAUAACAAAUUAGAUCCUGUGAAUGCGGCCAGCUUCGGGAAAUUAAUACGUUCUGUAUUUGUGGGAUUGAGAACUAGGCGUUUAGGGACUAGAGGGAACUCGAAAUACCAUUACUACGGGAUUCGCGUGAAGCCAAGCUCGCCUCUGGUAAUGAUGAACGAGGACGGCACGUCGAGGCAGCAGCAGGGCGGGAACUCGCAGACCAAGCGGUUCAAGUUCGUCAAUCAGAAGCAGGAGUCGUCCUAUGAGAAUAACACGCACGCGAACACGAACAUCUCCUCCAACUCCUCGCCGCCGCAGUAUCAUCAGUACUUCGGCGAGGCGAGUCGCGCCAUUCCCGAUUUCCCGGAGAUCUUUAUCGGCUCGUCCCUGCCGGAAGACUGCACGCUCGAAGACAUCGAUACAUUCCGCAACAUAUACCGGGAGCAUUGCGAAGCCUUCCUCGACGCAGUAUUGAAUUUCGAGUUCGCCACGGUGGAGAGCCUCUGGAGGGAGUUCUGGCGCAGCCAGGACAACAAUAACGGUGACGAGUGCGAAGAGGAGAACUAUUUAUCAAAAACCAAAUUAUAUCAGAUGUGUAAGUGUACAGGGGUGCAAGAUUUUAUCAAAAAAGUGGACUAUACAUUUUAUCAGAAUCUAGUCGAAGUAUUAAUGCCUAAUGUAUUGCAGCCGAUACCAAGUUCGUUGACGCAGUCUAUACGAAAUUUUGCGAAAGGAUUAGAGUCCUGGUUACAGUCAGCCAUGGCCGAUUGCCCCGAGGAAAUGAUGCAAAUUAAGUUAACUGCAGUGUCAGCUUUUGCUCAAACCUUAAGGCGCUACACGUCAUUGAAUCAUCUCGCACAGGCCGCACGAGCAGUGCUCCAGAAUUCUACACAGAUCAAUCAAAUGCUAGCCGAUCUGAAUCGCGUUGACUUUCACAACGUGCAGGAACAAGCAUCCUGGGUGUGCCAGUGCGACUAUGGAAUGGUACAGCGGCUGGAGGCGGAUUUUAAGGUGACGCUACAGCAGCAGAAUUCACUGGAGGACUGGGCGAUUUGGCUGAAGGGAGUGGUGACUCAAGUGCUUAAGCCGUUCGAGGAGAAGCCAACGUUCGCUACAGCGGCGCGUCAAUUCUUGCUCAAGUGGUCGUUUUACAGAGCAUCAGGUCGCCAUCGCAACGGGAACCACGCCGAUAGCUGUAAUGGGAGAUAAAAGUCAAAACUGCUCUUUAGUCAAUAAUUACGGAGCAACGUCUAACGGAGAUGCGUCUAAUGCAAGCCAACCGAAACGUAUGAAGCUGAGCUAACUGCGUGCCUACGCCCUUUAGUUAUGCGAGUAGCACAGGAGGAUGCGGGGAUACUAGCACGAAAACAUGCAGGCCUACUACAAGAACAUACUAGUCUCGUAAAUUAUUAUUUUGUAUAACGUCAGAUUGUAAUUAUUACGACUUAUGAGAGGAAGAUUUUUGCAUAACGCCCAUACAACGGUGUAAUACAAUUUAAGUAAGUCUGUGUGAUAUAAGAUAUAGAGAGAAAAAAAGGAAGUAUGUAUGUAUUCCGCGAAGCCUUGUCUCAUAUACAGGUACGGCGCAGGUUUAAGGUAUCGCGCUGGCACGAUGUCUAGUACGUUAGUGUAUAUUGAAUCUAGUCGAAACAUCUUUGGGAGAGAGAGAGAAGAAUAUACGGGACCAUGAAUUUCUCAUGCUCUCAUUAAAAGCACACACACACACACGAUAUAAGCCCACUCGAAUCGUUAUUUGCUUUUAUAAAAAUGCAUUUAUAGAUGAAUAAUCUGCAUGCAUUUUUAUAAACUCGCAGAUGCAUUUACGAAAAAAGUGUUCUUCGUUUUUCCAUGAUACAUCGUAAAAUGAUAAUUUUCAUGAUACAUUAUUUAUUGAUGAUCGUCCAUGUUAGGUGCAUUUAAUCAUUAAUCAUUAAAAUUGCUCACUUCAGAUAACAAUAAUACUUUUAUUUAAAUUUCCAAUUUUGUACGUUUCCAAUAUUUUUAAAAUAUAAGACUAAUAAGCUAAAAAGUGAAUGAAAUGCAAAAUUAAUACACGCAGGAACAUAGUAAUCGAUCGCGUAUUUAAAGCAAAUCGAGUAAAUGCAUAUUAAAGCAUACAUAUCCGCGUGUCAUGCACAGCUUGAAUAAACCAUUGGAAUUAUCAAUUAAUGCGUAUACGCCUGCGGAGAAUUGAAUCGAAUGGGCUUAAUGUAAACAUCAGAGUUCGUGCGAAGGAAAACCGCGAGGUAGCAAGAACAUCGUGCGAGGUAAAAAAAACAAACGUCCUUUCAUAUAUACUUACCUUUCAUUCGCGAAUUCUCUGGUUUGCACAAAUCGCGCGCAGCCAAUUACAAAAAUCCGCCCCACCGACGGUGUCACAUGUCAAAAGUAUUCCUAGCGGAAUAGAAGAAGGAGAAAUUAGGAA
Molecule: unclassified non-coding RNA, 3823 nt
Filed under: Ooceraea biroi (clonal raider ant)
Lineage: Eukaryota; Metazoa; Arthropoda; Insecta; Hymenoptera; Formicidae
Description: dNA-binding protein RFX2, transcript variant X6
Source: RNAcentral